This 329-nucleotide unclassified non-coding RNA is filed under the name soil metagenome. RNAcentral's name for it is "partial contains 5.8S ribosomal RNA, internal transcribed spacer 2, and large subunit ribosomal RNA". The stretch from base 1 to 120 matches the Rfam family "5.8S ribosomal RNA", at positions 35 to 154 of the family's 154-position model. The record is from RNAcentral.
GAUGAAGAACGCAGCGAAAUGCGAUAAGAAAUGUGAAUUGCAGAAUUCAGUGAAUCAUCGAAUCUUUGAACGCACAUUGCGCCCCUUGGUAUUCCGAGGGGCAUGCCUGUUCGAGCGUCAUUAUAACCCCUCAAGCUCAGCUUGGUGUUGGGGCCUGCUGCACUGGCAGCCCUUAAAAUCAGUGGCGGCGCCAUCUGGCUCUAAGCGUAGUAAUUCUUCUCGCUAUGGAGUCCUGGUGGAUGCUUGCCAUCAACCCCCAAUUUUUCUAUGGUUGACCUCGGAUCAGGUAGGGAUACCCGCUGAACUUAAGCAUAUCAAUAAGCGGAGGA